RNAcentral lists this ribosomal RNA (568 nucleotides) under uncultured bacterium. RNAcentral describes it as "bacterial SSU rRNA". It matches the Rfam family "Bacterial small subunit ribosomal RNA", at positions 355 to 894 of the family's 1533-position model. The record is from RNAcentral.
UGGGGAAUCUUCCGCAAUGGGCGAAAGCCUGACGGAGCAACGCCGCGUGAGUGAUGACGGCCUUCGGGUUGUAAAACUCUGUGAUCCGGGACGAAAAGGCAGAGUGCGAAGAACAAACUGCAUUGACCGGACCCGGAAAAAGAAGGCCACGGCUAACUACGUGCCACCAGCCGCGGUAAUACGUAGGUGGCAAGCGGUGUCCGGAAUUAUUGGGCGUAAAGCGCGCGCAGGCGGCUUCCCNANUCCCUCUUAAAGUGGGGGCUUAACCCCGUGAUUNCCCCCCNGUGAUGGGAGGGAAACUGGGAAGCUGGAGUAUCGGAGAGGAAAGUGGAAUUCCUAGUGUAGCGGGUGAANUGCGUAGAGUUUAGGAAAAAACCCCGGGUGGGAAAAGGNANUUUUUUGGGGACGAAAACUGACGCUGAGGCGCGAAAGCGUGGGGAGCAAACAGGAUUAGAUACCCUGGUAGUCCACGCCGUAAACGAUGGAUACUAGGUGUAGGAGGUAUCGACCCCUCCUGUGCCGGAGUUAACGCAAUAAGUAUCCCGCCUGGGAAGUACAAUCGCAAGAU